RNAcentral lists this ribosomal RNA (119 nucleotides) under Klebsiella pneumoniae. RNAcentral describes it as "partial 16S ribosomal RNA". It matches the Rfam family "Bacterial small subunit ribosomal RNA", at positions 1 to 114 of the family's 1533-position model. RNAcentral also lists the same sequence under 5 other names. Lineage: Bacteria; Pseudomonadati; Pseudomonadota; Gammaproteobacteria; Enterobacterales; Enterobacteriaceae. The record is from RNAcentral.
AAAUUGAAGAGUUUGAUCAUGGCUCAGAUUGAACGCUGGCGGCAGGCCUAACACAUGCAAGUCGAGCGGUAGCACAGAGAGCUUGCUCUCGGGUGACGAGCGGCGGACGGGUGAGUAAU